CUUCAAUUCUCUGCUGCUGGGCAAACAGUUUCUUGCUUGAGUGAAGAAGAGGUCGAGGAUGUCGUCAUGGAGGUGGAGAGUACUGGUGGUGUUCGCUCAUCCGCAGAAAAUGGCAAUAAAGAAAAUUCCCAAAGCUCAAAACCGAAUGAAAACAAUGGUGCUCUUGAUGUUGAUAUGGGCAAUCCAGGGUCCUUGAACACUCCGGAAACCACCCAAGAGUUACUUUUGAUCCCCCAUUUGAUGCGUCACUCCCAUAUCAUGAACUAGUUGG
Papaver somniferum (opium poppy) is the source of this 271-nucleotide long non-coding RNA. RefSeq lists it as uncharacterized. NCBI's taxonomy places the organism in Eukaryota, Viridiplantae, Streptophyta, Magnoliopsida, Ranunculales, Papaveraceae. The record is from RefSeq and is a predicted model, not a curated record. The transcript has 3 exons.